GAUGAACGCUGGCGGCGUGCCUAACACAUGCAAGUCGAACGGGAAUUAUUUUAUUGAAACUUCGGUCGAUUUAAUUUAAUUCUAGUGGCGGACGGGUGAGUAACGCGUGGGUAACCUGCCUUAUACAGGGGGAUAGCAGUCAGAAAUGGCUGCUAAUACCGCAUAAGCGCACAGAGCUGCAUGGCUCAGUGUGAAAAACUCCGGUGGUAUAAGAUGGACCCGCGUUGGAUUAGCUUGUUGGCAGGGUAACGGCCUACCAAGGCGACGAUCCAUAGCCGGCCUGAGAGGGUGAACGGCCACAUUGGGACUGAGACACGGCCCAGACUCCUACGGGAGGCAGCAGUGGGGAAUAUUGCACAAUGGGGGAAACCCUAAUGCAGCGACGCCGCGUGAAGGAAGAAGUAUCUCGGUAUGUAAACUUCUAUCAGCAGGGAAGAUAGUGACGGUACCUGACUAAGAAGCCCCGGCUAACUACGUG
Molecule: ribosomal RNA, 478 nt
Filed under: uncultured bacterium
Lineage: Bacteria
Description: partial 16S ribosomal RNA
Rfam family: Bacterial small subunit ribosomal RNA
Source: RNAcentral